CAUAUACUCCCUCCAUCCGGAAAUACUUGUCCGAGGAAUGGAUGUAUCUAGAUGUAUUUUAGUUCUAAAUACGUCCAUUUGUAUCCAUUUCUAUGACAAGUAUUUCCGGACAGAGGGAGUAUAAU
This is a non-coding RNA of Triticum urartu, 125 nucleotides long. The record is from Rfam. Lineage: Eukaryota; Viridiplantae; Streptophyta; Magnoliopsida; Poales; Poaceae.